UGAGGUAUUAAAGUAAGCAUCCACAACUCACGAAAUCCUGCAAGAUAGGAUAAUUUUGAAUCAGUGAUUAGGUCUUAUCUGACCAAUUCUUGGAAACUACCAGCUUUAGCAGUAUUUUGGAGAAUCUAAAACCUUAGCUUGUGUAUGGUCCAGAUAUCACCAAGCACCCAAGUAUAAAUAAGCCUUACAACUCUCUAACAGAAACUUAAUGACUUCAACUUAAGUUGCAUACUGACUUAGGAUUUGGGCUGACUUAGUAAUUAAAACUUUGUGUGCUUUUGAAAUUAUUGGCACUUAUGCAUUUGAAAUUAGAUUUCAUAAAACGAUAAAAUAAAUUCUUUGGGUAGAGACAACAGUUUGUGGGUAUCUGAGCCGAAAACCCUCACGAGACAAAACUCGUCCACUAGGGCCACCUAGGGGUUUAAAGCCUUAUUGCAUACGGUAAAUGCAAUCACGAUUCCUGCGAAAGUGAGUUUGUUUUUUUUUCGCUCGAGGACUAGCAAAAUGUAGGUUGGGGGUGUGAUAAGUGCUAAAUAAUGCAUAAAUUAAUAUCUUAUUUAUAGCACUUAUCAUUAAUUUAAUUCACAUAUUUUGUAAAUUUAACUAAAAAAAUGUAUUAUCACCACAUUUUAAAGGUAAUUCAAGUUUGAUUUGAUUAUUUAUUGAUUAAGCUUAAUGCAUGCAGGUCGAGUCGAGCUCAAUUAGGUAAAGCCUAAACGGACACUACAUCAUUUCACAAUUUCACAUUCUCCUGAGUCGACUCCAAGAACUCUUCUCCAAAAUCCAGUGCUUUCCAAGUUCACCUAAAUUUCGUCCCACUCAUUCCAAUUCUCCUGUUUUAACAUUAAAAAUAAUACAAUCCCUUCAAUCAAUUGUUUCUCAGAUCUCAAAGCAUACUAUCUUAGUUGCACAGAUUGCAAAGCCUCACCCCUUCAAUCCAUUUCAACUUCCCACGAAUAAUCCCAGAUCUCCUCCCAGCCAUUCCGCUUCCCUCCCAGCUUCAUCCCGGAUCUUAGUUCAUCCUCCCGUGAUCCACUCAUCUCCCAGCUGCAUCCAUUUGAUUCCAGCUCCAUCCUUGCGAGUUUCACGGCAUCCAAACAUCCCCUGUUUCUCCACGACCAGGCUUCUUCCACGUCCACCAGCGAGGGAUUCUUCCCAGCCAAAGGAAAUCAAACAUCGAACUGAGCCAUAUCUAAGCACCUUCAUUCCGUUUUACUCCCAGCGUCUGCAUAUCCAUGGGAUAAACUCAAAUCCCAGCUUCUCUUCCGGUUUGAUCCCAUGAAAUCGCUAACGUCUCAGCUCAUCUUCCCACGCGUCCGGCUUCACGCGUCUUCUCCUUUGAUCCGAACCACAGCAGUCCAUGAAUCAGGCCAAGCUUCAUCCCAACGGCAAAGGGUUCAUCCUUAUCUACAUUCGAAACAGAGGAGGGGAGUCGCAGCCUAUAAAAG
This 1448-nucleotide long non-coding RNA is filed under the name Phoenix dactylifera (date palm). RNAcentral's name for it is "long non-coding RNA (PDAC_LNC010502)". Lineage: Eukaryota; Viridiplantae; Streptophyta; Magnoliopsida; Arecales; Arecaceae. The record is from RNAcentral.